Leopardus geoffroyi (Geoffroy's cat) is the source of this 5666-nucleotide long non-coding RNA. RefSeq lists it as uncharacterized. The record is from RefSeq and is a predicted model, not a curated record. NCBI's taxonomy places the organism in Eukaryota, Metazoa, Chordata, Mammalia, Carnivora, Felidae. The transcript has 2 exons.
CGUGUGAGGGGGGACGGUGGUUGCCACGCUGAGGCCCCGGGGCCAUUGCGGGAGGGACACAGGGAAAGCGGGAAGCUCAGGGCCGAGUGGACACAGCCACAUCCCAGGUGGGGGAGCCCACUGAAGCCGGAGGGGGGCGCGGGGAGGAGUCUGGGGUGCCGAGGCCAGGGAGGGACACGUCCAGGUGGGAACGUCCCGGACCCAGGGAGGAGUCCGAGCCGGCAGGAGGCGGGUCGCAGGGUGGAGGCCUGGGCUGGGGCGAGCCCGGUGAGGGGCCAAGUGCGAAGGCGCUUCUGAGCUCGCGGGGCAGCGCAAGCCACGUUUCUGGUGAGCACAGACCGGGGUGCCCCUCAUGGCGGAACGUUCUCCGGCGGCUUCUGAGGGGCCGGCAGGGGCGUCAGGCUGCCUGGCCCCAUCCCGUUGUGCCGCCCUCCACUUACCUGGCCUUGAAAAGGCCUCUCUGCGCCUUGGUUCCCUUCAGAGAACACGGGGACGGGGACAGCGCCCACCUCUCGGAGGCCCAGGCCAGUCCCCCGGGGACAGCCCUGUGCUCCGUGCUCUCUUUAGCGUCGGCCACGGCUGCUGGCAAGGGAAACAGGCUUGGUGUGGUCCCAGCGUGGCUGUUUCUCAGACAUCACCGCGUGGGGCUGGGGCCUGAAGCCUCUCGGGCCACCGCCCGUGGGUCAGCAGGGCCACCGUCAGGAGUGCCCGUCCCUGUGCGGGACCGGCUGCGAAGGGCACAGAGACCCUUCCUACCCCCGGCGGGGGUGGGGCGGGAUGCCACAGGGGAGAGGCAAGAUCGCCGGGCCAGGUCACCGGGAGCGGAGUUCCAGAGAGUCCAGGAAAGAAGGACAGGCUAGGCUGGCCCUUUCCAGGGUGUGUGGGAUCGGACGAGACAGGAGCAGGGAGGGCAUCUGGGGAGGAGGGGCUGGACACGGUGGGGAGCACCGUGACACCGCUCCGCCCUCGUGUCUGCAGGCCCCCCGGGGGCACGGAUGUCCGGGGUCCCCAGAAUCCCGCAGACAGUGCACACAGAGCGCAGCCCAGGCCUGGGGAUGGUGCGUGAGGCAGCCCCAGCUCCCACGACCGGGUGUUGGUCCCCAGAAAGUGUGUCCCUGCCCCAGGGCUGGAGCCUGUGACUGCGACCUUACAUGUGGUCAUUAGAUGGUAAACGAUGCAGUCAAGUUAAGCAUUUGGGGAGACAGCCUUCGUCCGGGUCACCCGGAUGGGCCCUGUUCUGAUGGCAGGUGUGCUCCUAAGACAGUGGCAGAGGGAGACUGGGCACACACGCGAGGCCUGGCGAGCACGCAGCCCCGGGAGCUGCAGGAGGCAGGGAGGACCCUCCCCGGAGCCCCUGGCGGGAGCACAGCCCCACAAAACCUUGAUUGCAGACGUCUGCUCCCCACGGAGAUGGAUUCUGUUGUGUCGGGUCACCCACUUUGCACCCGCGGUCCUGGACACGCCAGCCUGGGCCCUGGUCUCUGGGAGGACCCGGGACCUCGCAGACGGGUGAAGGCCGAGACCCAGAGAGAAGCAGGCAGCAGAAGCCUUCCCGGGUCAUCGAGGACCGUCCUCACCCACCCUGUGGGGCUCUCACAGAAGCUCCAGGGCUGAGGGACCCUGGACCUCUGGAUUCCAGAGGGUCAAGGGGGCCUGACUGUCAGACACGAUCCAUGGGUGCAGACAGCGGGCGGGACAGGGGUCAGGGAGUGCGGAGGCCGAGGCCAGUGGAGGUCCCGGGGAGGCUCUGGUCUGCAGCUCACCCCGGAGGCCGGCAAGCCGCGCCCACCAGAGUUGGUAAGGGGGUGCCCCCAGCAGCUCCCAGGACACCCCGUCCUCUGUGUUCCAGGGCACGUGCCUCGAGGCUCCCGGAGAAGUGCAUGCUCCCCACAAGGCUGCAGGCUCCAGCGGGGACUCGGGUGAAGACACCCCGAGUGUCCUGGGCUGUAAAUAAAUGACGGAAGCCUGGGGACUCAUAACCAAAGAGACGUACUGUCCCCUGGUCUGCAGCCGGAGCCUGAAAUCGAGUCACCAGUCACUGCUGCGACCCCACGCUGACCUGAGAGCAUCUGCAAAGCCUUUUCGUACCAACGAGGCCGAGUCCCGGGUCUCGGGACACAGAGUCUUUGGAGGACACAAGUCCACUCGCUGCCCACGCUGGCAAAGGGCCAGGCCUCUGACUACCGCCGCCUCCCCCGGCCCAGCUGCCUGGUGUGUGACCGGGGCGAGGCGCGCGCCCCUGCGCCUACCUUCUCCCCGAAAGAGGGGCGACACGGGGAGCCCUCCGUGGACCGUGGUGCCUGCGCCCGGGGCCGGCCGGCAGCUCUGAAUCGUCAGCGGACACCCAGGUCGGGAGUUUCAGGAACUCUCCGCUGUUGCCGGAUGCCGACGCUCACGGCCCGGCAGUGGAAGCCACCCUCACGGUGAACAGAGUGCGCGGGCGGGCGGUUUCUGGGGCGCAGCUGGUCCCCGUUUGCGUCUCUCCGACCAAAGCGCGGAGCUUUCUUAAAGUCGGAGACGUGCCCGCCCGCCCAUCCGCACCGGGGGCUCUGUCUCCCGGACAGACGUCCACGGAGCCCACGCGCACAGGGUUGCGCGAGGACCACGGGCGCGCGGCCAAACGAGAGGGGGGAGGGAAGCAAGCGUCAAAGCCACGGAGGCACGGGUCACGGGGGGCCUGCGGCUCCCACGCGAAGACGCGGCGGCGCUCGGCGGUCCUCACGCGGGUGACCGGGGCCGGGGCUCGCCCUGCGCUGGAGGACACGUGACGGAAAUGAGCCACCACGUGCAUGAACGCGGCCGCUUAACUUCACACGGAGGGACCAUUUUAAAUGAAUUUAAAACAGUAAUUUGUACAUCAUUAGCGGCUAAAUCCUCAGAUUGAAAAUGACAUUAACCCGCGUCUGUAAACAGAUGGUCGGUAAUCUCGAUAUUAUUGUUCAUACCGCGAUCGGUUAGCUAUUUCUUAACGGGUGCCGUGUGCGCGCGCUGCUCGGGCGGGGUGUCGGCGCGGGGGGUCCGCGCUCAGCGGGGGCUGUGCGGGGGCGCGGGCGGCGGGGAGGGGCGCGGACCCCAGGCCCGGCUCGCCCCGAGGGAGGGGAGCACUUUCCUCCGCACACCCCUUCGGGGAGCCCCCGCUCGCUGUGCCCCAAGAACGAGGUGUCUGAGGGUGUGGACCCGCUGCCGCCUCCCCUGCACGGAGGGAAGGGCUGUUUUUCCGCGGAGAAGAGGGGCUGGUGGCCCGCUCUCACCACGUCCCCUGCAGGCUGGUCCCGGGGCAGCCGUGUGUCAGACGAGAUCAAGCAGCGUCGUCUUGGGUUUGUGGAGCUGACGUGGGUAAGCGUUUUCCUGGUGUUACCUGUGCUAUGCGUGCGUGUGCAAUUCCCAUCACACGUGCGUGCACACACCAUCCGUGUAUUUACACAUGCGUGGCAUCCAGCGCAAGGCCUGAUGGGGCACCAGACCCCCCUCAUCCAGGGCCCUUGGGCUUCUGUGCCACCGCCGGCCCCGGGACCGCAUUCUGGUCCCGCCACCGCCUCAGUUCCGCGGCCCUGGCCCUGCUGUGGGAAGGUGACGCCCUCCGCUGCUGGCGGUCUCGCUCUGUGCGCGAUGGCGACCCAGACGCUGGACCCCGCCGUCCGUGUACCCGCGUCUGAAGAGCCCGCCGCUUCUCCAGAUUCUCCGGACCCGAGCAGGGCCCAGAGGGUCGGUAGGAACCGGGCAUCGGCCUCCCAACGGGCUCCCCACGCGGCUCGGCCUGUCCCGCCCGAGGCUCGCGCUCACACGCGCGCACGGCGCUGUGUCCCGGCCGCGGUGCAGCCGGGCGGCUAACGGAGCGCCUGCGGGAACGGGUGUAGACUGCCCCAGUGCAGGGUCACCCGCCCGCCCGAUCCGUGGACCGUCUCGCGGGGCCGCGGCGGCUCCCUCAGCCGCUCACACGUCCCACUUAGAGAUGUGGCUUCUUCUGUUUCCUCUCCCUUCACUUCCUAGACGCUCGAGACCGCUGUCCGUCUUUGUCUCGUUCUGCCCGACGAUCACGAUCACGGGGGACCGUCUGAUAAGUAAAUGCUCGCGUCCCCGUCCCGCAAGAAGAGAGGCAUGGCUGUCCCCCUCCAUCACCGACGGGGACGCAGAGGCACAGAGAGGCCAAGCGUCCUACCCAGUGCCACACAGGAGGGAGGGGCCGAGGCUCUGCUGCGCGGGGACGGGGACGGGGACGGGGAGGGGACACGACUGUGCCCUCUGACACCCCCGGGGACUCGGGGGCCUGGCAGGGAGCGUCCUGCAGGCUCCCCCUGAGAACCCCGCGCCCCCAGCGGUUCAGGCGACCCCUCCGCUCUUUCAGCUCCGCGGGAAUGGAGGUGGCACACGCCCCCGAGCGCAUGUGGCCGCGUCCCUCUGCUGGCGGGCCUCGUGACGUGCGCCCUGCCCGGGGGACUACAGGCUCCUGAGGGCCAAGCCCACCUGGAUCUCCCCACUCCUGCCCCUUCCCCAUACGGAGCAGAGAGAGCAGGGGCGCCUGGGGGCUCAGCAUUGGUCUCGCCGCCCUGCACCCAGAACCUGGUGCCUAGUACCAAGUACCCAGUACCCACUGCCCAAUAUUCACUACCUAGUACCAAUGCCCGGGUCUAGCGCCCAGUACCCGGUACCCGGUAACCCAGCACCAAUGCCCAGUACCUGGUACCUGGUACCUGAGGCUUGGUGCCCACCACACAGUACUCAGUGCCACUGCCCAUGCCUGGUGCUCAAUACCUAGGACCUGGUGCCUACAACCCAAUGCCAAUGCCUAGUACCCAGUGCCCAGUGCCUGGUACUCAGUACCUGAUGCCUGCUACCCAGUGCCUGGUGCCCGGCACUCAGUGCCCAGUACCAGCACCUGGGUUGGUCUUGCCCAGGCCCAGCAUUAGGCUUUCCACCUCCACACCAGGGCUGCCCCGAGCUCCUGGAUGGCCUCCCGCCACACACACACCAGCCUCCUGGUGCUCAGACAUCUGCUCUCUGGUCAACUGCCUCUUUAGGGGCCUGGACCUGGCCCAGGGCCACCGGUUCCAGCCCACCCCCCCGGACGCCCUCUGCCUGGAGCCCCCGACUGCUGCUGUGCUCAGCAGAGUGGCACCCCCGUUGACCCAGGAGGGGGUGCUCCAAAGGCCCUGCUCCCUUGAGCCUUGGGGGGCUGGACCCCUAACUUACCCCUGAGUCAAACGAUUCUGACAGAUCUGUCCCCAGACUUCCCCCAUGAUGGCACGCAGCCAAGUGUCCCCCGAGGGAGCAUCAGACACGCCCACACGCCCUCACCCGGCACUGGGGGGCCCGAGGUUCCCACCCGGAUGGGCUCAGGGGGCGAGCCGGCCACAGAGAAAGUGAGGAGACGGAUGAUCCUGUGCCCCGGACGUCCCGGCUGGAAACCAAGUAAAAGUACCUCACGCACAACCCGGAGGGAAACACACACCAACCGUGACGUCACCUGCAGAAGGGAGGGAGCCCGGUGUGCAUGGAUGUGCUUUCAGCCCGGAUCCACCUGUGUUGAGGGCCCAGACCCCCUUAGGAAGGGGCACAGAGUCAGUCUGCAUACGGGGGUGGCUGUCUCCCCCUCCCCAUAUCUGCCAGGGCCACCAGGGCACGUGGCACCAGCCUUUCUUGGGUCCAAAUAAAGCGGCCACCAUGAA